RNAcentral lists this long non-coding RNA (505 nucleotides) under Panax ginseng (ginseng). RNAcentral describes it as "long non-coding RNA (PGIN_LNC005596)". The record is from RNAcentral. Lineage: Eukaryota; Viridiplantae; Streptophyta; Magnoliopsida; Apiales; Araliaceae.
CUUAAUAUUACAUUAUGGAAAUUAAAAGGACCAAACCAAGCUUUACAUGACCAAAUGCUAAGAUUUUUCUCUCUUGUCCCAAAUUAAGUGUCACCAAGUACAAUGAACAGUGUCCUAAACUAUCUUUACGUAUUCUCCAAGUGGCUAAAUCAUAGGUGAUCAUUUGCUAGCUAAGUGGAUGGUAUGGAGUUGUUAAACUACCCUCUAUGAACCUAUGUAUCCUUCCAUUACACCAUGGACUCCAAGAUUGUGUAAUGUCAAGAUCUAGUCCAUGCUCUUUCUAUAAAUAUAAGCUACAAGUUCAGUUUUUGUGUUGCUUAAAAACUUGUCUGGUAAUUCUAAGUGUAGAGUAUAAGUUUCUGAGCUAUUUUAGAAGCAUACUCAGAGUGUAGGAAGUUCAAUUCAAGCUCAAGGAGGUAUAAUUUCUAAUUAUGUUCUUGAGAUGGGUCUUGUUUGAUUCUUGUAAUUUCUUAAAAUUCUAUGUUAAUCAAGAUGAAGUAGCAUA